RNAcentral lists this ribosomal RNA (1338 nucleotides) under Bacillus subtilis subsp. subtilis. Its description in RNAcentral is "bacterial SSU rRNA". It matches the Rfam family "Bacterial small subunit ribosomal RNA", at positions 29 to 1351 of the family's 1533-position model. Lineage: Bacteria; Bacillati; Bacillota; Bacilli; Caryophanales; Bacillaceae. The record is from RNAcentral.
ACGAACGCUGGCGGCGUGCCUAAUACAUGCAAGUCGAGCGGACAGAUGGGAGCUUGCUCCCUGAUGUUAGCGGCGGACGGGUGAGUAACACGUGGGUAACCUGCCUGUAAGACUGGGAUAACUCCGGGAAACCGGGGCUAAUACCGGAUGGUUGUUUGAACCGCAUGGUUCAAACAUAAAAGGUGGCUUCGGCUACCACUUACAGAUGGACCCGCGGCGCAUUAGCUAGUUGGUGAGGUAACGGCUCACCAAGGCGACGAUGCGUAGCCGACCUGAGAGGGUGAUCGGCCACACUGGGACUGAGACACGGCCCAGACUCCUACGGGAGGCAGCAGUAGGGAAUCUUCCGCAAUGGACGAAAGUCUGACGGAGCAACGCCGCGUGAGUGAUGAAGGUUUUCGGAUCGUAAAGCUCUGUUGUUAGGGAAGAACAAGUACCGUUCGAAUAGGGCGGUACCUUGACGGUACCUAACCAGAAAGCCACGGCUAACUACGUGCCAGCAGCCGCGGUAAUACGUAGGUGGCAAGCGUUGUCCGGAAUUAUUGGGCGUAAAGGGCUCGCAGGCGGUUUCUUAAGUCUGAUGUGAAAGCCCCCGGCUCAACCGGGGAGGGUCAUUGGAAACUGGGGAACUUGAGUGCAGAAGAGGAGAGUGGAAUUCCACGUGUAGCGGUGAAAUGCGUAGAGAUGUGGAGGAACACCAGUGGCGAAGGCGACUCUCUGGUCUGUAACUGACGCUGAGAGCGAAAGCGUGGGGAGCGAACAGGAUUAGAUACCCUGGUAGUCCACGCCGUAAACGAUGAGUGCUAAGUGUUAGGGGGUUUCCGCCCCUUAGUGCUGCAGCUAACGCAUUAAGCACUCCGCCUGGGGAGUACGGUCGCAAGACUGAAACUCAAAGGAAUUGACGGGGGCCCGCACAAGCGGUGGAGCAUGUGGUUUAAUUCGAAGCAACGCGAAGAACCUUACCAGGUCUUGACAUCCUCUGACAAUCCUAGAGAUAGGACGUCCCCUUCGGGGGCAGAGUGACAGGUGGUGCAUGGUUGUCGUCAGCUCGUGUCGUGAGAUGUUGGGUUAAGUCCCGCAACGAGCGCAACCCUUGAUCUUAGUUGCCAGCAUUCAGUUGGGCACUCUAAGGUGACUGCCGGUGACAAACCGGAGGAAGGUGGGGAUGACGUCAAAUCAUCAUGCCCCUUAUGACCUGGGCUACACACGUGCUACAAUGGACAGAACAAAGGGCAGCGAAACCGCGAGGUUAAGCCAAUCCCACAAAUCUGUUCUCAGUUCGGAUCGCAGUCUGCAACUCGACUGCGUGAAGCUGGAAUCGCUAGUAAUCGCGGAUCA